UAAGCGCAACAGCGCCGGUAAGGGCGAAAAGGUGCGGUAAGAGCGCACCGCACGGCUGGCAACAGUGCGUGGCUAGGUAAACCCCACUCGGAGCAAGACCAAAUAGGAAUCCAUUGGCGCGUCCCGCGUUGGAUUCGGGUAGGUCGCUUGAGGCGUACAGUGAUGUGCGUCCCAGAGGAAUGGCUGUCCUCGACAGAACCCGGCUUAUAGAUCGACUCUCACA
This 223-nucleotide RNase P RNA is filed under the name Pseudomonas aeruginosa. RNAcentral's name for it is "partial RNase P RNA component class A". It matches the Rfam family "Bacterial RNase P class A", at positions 131 to 367 of the family's 367-position model. Rfam says of the family: Ribonuclease P (RNase P) is a ubiquitous endoribonuclease, found in archaea, bacteria and eukarya as well as chloroplasts and mitochondria. The record is from RNAcentral. Lineage: Bacteria; Pseudomonadati; Pseudomonadota; Gammaproteobacteria; Pseudomonadales; Pseudomonadaceae.